AUACCAGCCCCCUGAGUGGUAAGGACGAUUAUUUGGCCUAAAGCGCCCGUAGCCGGUUUAGCAAGUCUUUUGUUAAAUCCAAUAAUUCAAUUAUUGGGCCGCAAGAGAUACUGCUAUACUAGAGGACGGGAGAGGUCUACGGUACUCCAGGGGUAGGGGUGAAAUCCUAUAAUCCUUGGAGGACCACCAGUGGCGAAGGCGGUCGACUAGAACGUGCCUGACGGUGAGGGGCGAAAGCUGGGGGAGCGAACCGGAUUAGAUACCCGAGUAGUCC
Molecule: ribosomal RNA, 274 nt
Filed under: uncultured bacterium
Lineage: Bacteria
Description: partial 16S ribosomal RNA
Rfam family: Archaeal small subunit ribosomal RNA
Source: RNAcentral